GGUAGUUAAGUCAGAAGUGAAAUCCAAUAGCUCAACUAUUGAACUGCUUUUGAAACUGGCAACCUAGAGUAUGGGAGGGGGAGAUGGAAUUAGUGGUGUAGGGUAAAAUCCGUAGAUAUCACUAGGAAUACCUAAAGCGAAGGCGAUCUCCUGGAACAUUACUGACGCUAAGGCGUGAAAGCGUGGGGAGCAAACAGGAUUAGAUACCCUGGUAGUCCACGCCCUAAACGAUGAACACUAGUCGUCGCCCUGCUUGUCAGGGCGGUGAUGCACUUAACAGAUUAAGUGUUCCGCCUGGGGAGUACGGUCGCAAGAUUAAAACUCAAAGGAAUAGACGGGGACCCGCACAAGUGGUGGAGCAUGUGGUUUAAUUCGAAGAUACGCGAAAAACCUUACCUGGCCUUGACAUUGAUAGAAUCCAGCAGAGAUGCAGGAGUGCCCUUCGGGGAGCUUGAAAACAGGUGCUGCACGGCUGUCGUCAGCUCGUGUCGUGAGAUGUUGGGUUAAGUCCCGCAACGAGCGCAACCCUCGUCCUUAGUUGCCAGCAGGUUAAGCUGGGCACUCUAGGGAGACUGCCUUCGCAAGAAGGAGGAAGGUGAGGACGACGUCAAGUCAUCAUGGCCCUUACGGCCAGGGCUACACACGUGCUACAAUGGGGCGUACAGAGUGUUGCAAUACCGCGAGGUGGAGCCAAUCACUUAAAGCGUCUCUCAGUUCGGAUUGUUCUCUGCAACUCGAGAGCAUGAAGCU
Molecule: ribosomal RNA, 750 nt
Filed under: uncultured Sulfurimonas sp.
Lineage: Bacteria; Pseudomonadati; Campylobacterota; Epsilonproteobacteria; Campylobacterales; Sulfurimonadaceae
Description: bacterial SSU rRNA
Rfam family: Bacterial small subunit ribosomal RNA
Source: RNAcentral